AUGGCAAGAGCCUUACCAUGGCUAACCUUUUCAGCCACCCUGCUGCUGCUAGCAAGCAUCAAGAGCAGCACAGCGUCCAGGAUGGCGAAGCCUGGAUGCCAAGAAACAUGCGGCAACCUCACCAUCCCAUACCCCUUCGGCAUCGGUCAAGGUUGCUUCUACGGUCAAGGGUUCGAUGUUUCAUGCGAGAACAAUCGUGUUUUCAUGCAUAAUUCAAGCAGCCGAAUGGAGAUCUACAACAUCAGUCUGGUAGGAGGGCAGGCUCGAGUCAGCACCUUGAUUGCAUCCAAGUGCUCCUACAAAAAUGGCACCGACACAGAUUGGGGGGUUUCAUCAAAUACUGCCGAUUUGUUUACAAUAUCCAGCAAGGCGAACAAGCUAACAGUGGUUGGAUGCAACACCCUUGCAUUCCUUGGAGGCUUUAAUGAGCACAGAGCCGGAGCUGGGUGUUUCUCAAUGUGCCCUGACAAGCAAGGAGUGGACGGUAGUGGGCAGUGCUCUGGCAUGGGCUGUUGCCAGACAUCCAUCGCACCAAACCUCAAUUCCUUAAACAUAGGAUUCGAUGACAGGUAUAACAAUUCUGAGGUGCGUGAUUUCAACCCCUGCAGCUAUGCUUUUGUCGCCGAGCAGGAUUGGUUCAGGUUUGAGGCUUCAUACCUUGAUGAUGACAAGUUCAGGGAUAAGUUCAAGGAUGAGGUCCCUGCUGUGCUUGACUGGGUUGUUGGACAUGAAUCCUGUGAUGAAGCGGUCAAGAACACGACAUCGUAUGCCUGCAUUAGCAAGAAUAGCCACUGCAUCAUGUCAGCAAAUGCUACAGGCUAUCUCUGCACCUGCAACAAUGGCUUCGCAGGCAACCCCUACCUGGAAGAAGGAUGCCAAGAUAUCAACGAGUGCCGCUUUCCAGAUCAGUAUCCUUGCCAUGGAAUCUGCAGCAACGCGAUUGGGGACUACAUUUGUUCAUGCAACUCUGGAACUAGCAGCAUAGAUCCAAAGAGAGAAACCUGCAAACAAAUCACAGUUUCAGAAAGAGCUAGAUUAACAAAAAUGUUUAUAGGUAUUUCAUCAUGUGCUGUAAUUCUCCUUAUCUGCAUUUUUGCACUCCUGAUUGAAUGUCAGAAGAGAAAGCUGGUGAAAGAAAAGAAGAUAUUCUUCCAACAAAAUGGUGGCCUGCUAUUAUAUGAGCAAAUCAGGUCAAAGCAAGUUGAUACAGUAAGAAUAUUCACAAGGGAAGAACUAGAGAACGCAACAAACAAUUUUGAUUCAAGCAGAGAAUUAGGAAGGGGCGGCCAUGGAACUGUAUACAAGGGAAUUCUCAAAGAUGGCAGAGUGGUGGCCAUAAAGCGCUCAAAGGUUAUGAACAUGGACCAGAAAGAUGAAUUUGCGCAAGAGAUGGUUAUACUUUCACAGAUAAACCACAGGAAUGUGGUAAAGCUUCUAGGAUGUUGCUUAGAAGUGGAAGUUCCAAUGUUGGUCUAUGAAUGCAUCCCAAACGGCACCCUAUUCGAGCUGAUGCAUGGUAAAAACAGAAGACUUUCCAUCUCACUGGAUACACGUCUCAGGAUAGCUCAGGAAUCUGCAGAAGCAUUAGCAUAUCUGCACUCAUCAGCAUCCCCUCCCAUAGUUCAUGGAGAUGUAAAAUCUCCAAACAUUCUCCUAGGCGACAACUACACAGCAAAAGUGACUGAUUUUGGAGCAUCAAGAAUGCUUCCUACGGAUGAAAUACAAUUUAUGACAAUGGUACAGGGAACUAUAGGUUAUCUUGACCCUGAAUACUUGCAAGAGCGUCAACUAACAGAGAAGAGUGAUGUUUAUAGUUUUGGAGUUGUGCUCCUAGAGCUCAUUACAAUGAAGUUCGCAAUUUAUUCUGACAGUACUGGAGAAAAGAAAAACCUUGCAUCAUCCUUCCUUCUAGCAAUGAAAGAAAAUGGACUUCAAUUCAUCUUGGACAAGAAUAUAUUAGACUUCGAAGCGGAGCUGCUCCAAGAAAUUGCUCAACUGGCAAAGUGUUGCUUGAGUAUGAGGGGGGAAGAACGGCCAUUAAUGAGAGAUGUCGCUGAGAGGUUGAGAUCAAUAAGAAGCACCUGGAGAGAACAAUUGAUUCAGAAUCCUAGCAGGGAAACUGAAUGUUUGCUUGAGAACUCGUCACACUAUGACCCUUCUAGCACUGGACAGCAUGGAAGUCUGAUGGCGCUAGAUCUGGAAAGUGGUAGAUGA
Molecule: ribosomal RNA, 2214 nt
Filed under: Triticum aestivum (bread wheat)
Lineage: Eukaryota; Viridiplantae; Streptophyta; Magnoliopsida; Poales; Poaceae
Description: partial small subunit ribosomal RNA
Source: RNAcentral